This 253-nucleotide ribosomal RNA is filed under the name uncultured bacterium. RNAcentral's name for it is "partial 16S ribosomal RNA". It matches the Rfam family "Bacterial small subunit ribosomal RNA", at positions 524 to 776 of the family's 1533-position model. The record is from RNAcentral.
UACGUAGGGGGCAAGCGUUAUCCGGAUUUACUGGGUGUAAAGGGAGCGUAGACGGCGAUGCAAGCCAGAUGUGAAAGCCCGGGGCUCAACCCCGGGACUGCAUUUGGAACUGUGUGGCUGGAGUGUCGGAGAGGCAGGCGGAAUUCCUAGUGUAGCGGUGAAAUGCGUAGAUAUUAGGAGGAACACCAGUGGCGAAGGCGGCCUGCUGGACGAUGACUGACGUUGAGGCUCGAAAGCGUGGGGAGCAAACAGG